AACUGCAGUCGAGCGGUAAGGCCCUUCGGGGUACACGAGCGGCGAACGGGUGAGUAACACGUGGGUGAUCUGCCUUGCACUUCGGGAUAAGCCUGGGAAACUGGGUCUAAUACCGGAUAUGACCCCGAAUCGCAUGGUUUGGGGUGGAAAGAUUUAUCGGUGCGAGAUGGGCCCGCGGCCUAUCAGCUUGUUGGUGAGGUAACGGCUCACCAAGGCGACGACGGGUAGCCGACCUGAGAGGGUGACCGGCCACACUGGGACUGAGACACGGCCCAGACUCCUACGGGAGGCAGCAGUGGGGAAUAUUGCACAAUGGGCGCAAGCCUGAUGCAGCGACGCCGCGUGCGGGAUGACGGCCUUCGGGUUGUAAACCGCUUUUGACAGGGACGAAGCGCAAGUGACUGUACCUGUAGAAUAAGGACCGGCCAACUACGUGCCAGCAGCCGCGGUAAUACGUAGGGUCCGAGCGUUGUCCGGAAUUACUGGGCGUAAAGAGCUUGUAGGCGGUUCGUCGCGUCGUUUGUGAAAACUUGGGGCUCAACCUUAAGCUUGCAGGCGAUACGGGCGGACUAGAGUACUUCAGGGGAGACUGGAAUUCCUGGUGUAGCGGUGAAAUGCGCAGAUAUCAGGAGGAACACCGGUGGCGAAGGCGGGUCUCUGGGAAGUAACUGACGCUGAGAAGCGAAAGCAUGGGUAGCAAACAGGAUUAGAUACCCUGGUAGUCCAUGCCGUAAACGGUGGGUACUAGGUGUGGGGCUCCUUCCACGGACUCCGUGCCGUAGCUAACGCAUUAAGUACCCCGCCUGGGGAGUACGGCCGCAAGGCUAAAACUCAAAGAAAUUGACGGGGGCCCGCACAAGCGGCGGAGCAUGUGGAUUAAUUCGAUGCAACGCGAAGAACCUUACCUGGGUUUGACAUACACCGGAAACCUGCAGAGAUGUAGGCCCCCUUGUGGUCGGUGUACAGGUGGUGCAUGGCUGUCGUCAGCUCGUGUCGUGAGAUGUUGGGUUAAGUCCCGCAACGAGCGCAACCCUUAUCUUAUGUUGCCAGCGCGUAAUGGCGGGGACUCGUGAGAGACUGCCGGGGUCAACUCGGAGGAAGGUGGGGACGACGUCAAGUCAUCAUGCCCCUUAUGUCCAGGGCUUCACACAUGCUACAAUGGCCGGUACAGAGGGCUGCGAUACCGCGAGGUGGAGCGAAUCCCUUAAAGCCGGUCUCAGUUCGGAUCGGGGUCUGCAACUCGACCCCGUGAAGUUGGAGUCGCUAGUAAUCGCAGAUCAGCAACGCUGCGGUGAAUACGUUCCCGGGCCUUGUACACACCGCCCGUCACGUCAUGAAAGUCGGUAACACCCGAAGCCGGUGGCCUAACCCCUUGUGGGAGGGAGC
This 1386-nucleotide ribosomal RNA is filed under the name Nocardia sp. SXS5. Its description in RNAcentral is "bacterial SSU rRNA". It matches the Rfam family "Bacterial small subunit ribosomal RNA". The record is from RNAcentral. Lineage: Bacteria; Bacillati; Actinomycetota; Actinomycetes; Mycobacteriales; Nocardiaceae.